UGCAGUGUAUAUCCGGAAUUAGGCCUCCCCAGACGGACCAUAUUCUUGAGCAACUUAUGUCUAAAGUGCCCAGAAUCAAACUCAAGAUAGACUGCAACUAUCUCGCAGGAGAACAUUGCAAUCUGAAACAUAUUCACGGAAAAAAAUAUAAGAAUCAAGCAUAAAGAGAAAAAAAAAGAGAAAAAAAUAUUCACAUGAAUCUCAAUGUAAAAUCAAUGACAUAUGACUUAGAUGUACAAUACUUAUGGCACAUCUAGAUAUGCUUUAGCAAAACUGAAAAUAUAAUUCAGUUGAAUGAAACUCCUCAUAAAUUACACCGCAGCGAUUUACUGAUUCACUUCAAAAAUAAUAAUUUAUCUAACGAAUUCAGCACCACCUAACUUUUGUGGUACACAUUGCAGCGACCACAGCAGACGGACCGUGGAUGUGCUUAAAGACAUUGAAGGGGGCAUGACCGCCACUUCUGGAGUUUCCGGUUAACCUGCCAAACACGGUUGCCACUUGGGUUUCCGCUACAAGCAUAGCGGUGCUGGGGGUGGACGGAGACAAACGAGCAAAGUAGGGAGAUCGAGAGAAGCGAUUAUGGAAGGCUUUUUUUACCUGUCCAAGAACCAUUGGAGAUUAUCAGCUAAAGAAUUUCGGAGAUAUAUCCAAGAUCUGCCCGACUCAAUUUCAUUAUGAACGGCACUUGUACAAAAUUUUGAUCAGGAGGAUAAUAGCAUAACAUAAUGGUUGGGUGGAAGAAGGAAUAGUAUAUUAAUGGGAAGAAAAUGAAGAUAUAAAGGGUACGUACCUAGCAAAGCACCAUGCUGAUGGAUAUUCUAUCGCCGGAGUGGAAAGGGUGAGUUGAGAGUGGUAGAGGAAGAAGUAUAUAUAUACACGUGCCUGAACUGAGGCAGCAGAAGGACGAGAAAACAGAGAGACAUCCAUUAGUCACCGCUGGCAAGGG
Molecule: long non-coding RNA, 949 nt
Filed under: Triticum aestivum (bread wheat)
Lineage: Eukaryota; Viridiplantae; Streptophyta; Magnoliopsida; Poales; Poaceae
Description: long non-coding RNA (TAES_LNC010225)
Source: RNAcentral